UGGGGGAAUUUUGGACAAUGGGCGAAAGCCUGAUCCAGCAAUGCCGCGUGUGUGAAGAAGGCCUUCGGGUUGUAAAGCACUUUUGUCCGGAAAGAAAUCCUUNGGCUCUAAUACAGUCGGGGGAUGACGGUACCGGAAGAAUAAGCACCGGCUAACUACGUGCCAGCAGCCGCGGUAAUACGUAGGGUGCAAGCGUUAAUCGGAAUUACUGGGCGUAAAGCGUGCGCAGGCGGUUUGCUAAGACCGAUGUGAAAUCCCCGGGCNCAACCUGGGAACUGCAUUGGUGACUGGCAGGCUAGAUAUGGCAGAGGGGGGUAGAAUUCCACGUGUAGCAGUGAAAUGCGUAGAGAUGUGGAGGAAUACCGAUGGCGAAGGCAGCCCCCUGGGCCAAUACUGACGCUCAUGCACGAAAAGCGUGGGGAGCAAACAGGAUU
This 434-nucleotide ribosomal RNA is filed under the name uncultured bacterium. RNAcentral describes it as "partial 16S ribosomal RNA". It matches the Rfam family "Bacterial small subunit ribosomal RNA", at positions 354 to 779 of the family's 1533-position model. The record is from RNAcentral.